UUAUCAAUUCAUCGAAAUAGAUUCGUCAAAGAUGAUAUCACACACAUAUAUGGACAACAACCAAAUAUACAUGUCUAAAUUUGUCCACCAAACUAAAAAUUAUAAGUAUAUACAUAUAUCAUGAAAUAAAUACAAAUAAGUCUGUAGUAUCUGCUUCGCAUGGACAAAAAAAACCAUAUAUAUACAUCUUGGACCAAUAAUCGUCGAUAACGUUUGCUUGAAAUUUUUAAUCUGGUAAAUGGACAAUAUUUUUAAAGUAAUAAAAGCAUGGACAAAAAAAUGUAAUCAGAUUCCUAUUAGUCUAUUACUUAAGUGGACAACAUUUCAGAUUCACAUCAAUGAUAUUGUCCACAACAUCUUUGGUUUCCUCGUAAACAUCUUCUUCUCUGUCUGGCCAAAAUGACGAAGUAUUAGAACUAUAUGUUGAUUGAUAUAAUAAUAGUAGACAAUAUAUGUUGAUUGAUAUAAGAAUAAUGGACAAUAUACAUCUUCGGUUUCCUCGUAGACAUCUUUUUCUUCGUCUUCAGUUUUCUACUAGACAUCUUCGUCUUCUUUUUUCUCUCGUAGACAACAAACAUUUAAUAUGCAUAAUAUCGAAAUUGAAUAACCAAUUAAAAACAAAAUUAAAACCAGUGAAUCGUCAAAUUUAGAUGGGAGAAUGAACUUGAUUUAGAUAGGAAAACUAAAAGAUCUAUUCUUGAGGAUAUCAAAAUUUAUAGAUCUGAAUUUUUUUAUCCACAGUGGUGAUAUAGAAGAGAAGAAGACGAUGGUGGAGAUGGAAAUAGAUCUAAUUAACUUCAAACAAAUCUUAGAUCUAAACAGAGAAAGGAAAGGAAAAAGAGAAGUAGAGAAAGGAAUAGGAUGAAGAGAGAGAGGAAGAGGGAGAGAGCAUGAAACGAUAAAAAAAAAAAAAAGAAGAUAUUUGUGUGAGUGUUUGUGGAGAAAAUAAGGAGUAAAUGGUCAUUUCCAAUUUUACAAAGUGGUAUGGAGG
Molecule: long non-coding RNA, 991 nt
Filed under: Arabidopsis lyrata
Lineage: Eukaryota; Viridiplantae; Streptophyta; Magnoliopsida; Brassicales; Brassicaceae
Description: long non-coding RNA (ALYR_LNC003310)
Source: RNAcentral